AUGUUGUAACAUGACUAUAUGGUGAAAGAUGAUAAUAUGGAUCUUAUUAUAGAAGAACCAAAUUAAAAGAUAAAGUAGAAAAAUAUGGAUAAAAGAUAGGAAGACAGUAAAACUUUUAAUAGUAGUACUACCUUUUUAAAAAAGUGACUUCUACUUACUUUGUAGAGCCAUAAAUAAAGCAAAAUAAGGUAGAUUGGAAAAAUAAAUAAUAUAAGUAUCUUUAGGAGAAAGUUAAGAGUAAACUCU
This 246-nucleotide long non-coding RNA is filed under the name Physcomitrium patens. RNAcentral's name for it is "long non-coding RNA (PPAT_LNC002928)". Lineage: Eukaryota; Viridiplantae; Streptophyta; Bryopsida; Funariales; Funariaceae. The record is from RNAcentral.